Small nuclear RNA from Condylostylus longicornis, 109 nucleotides. RefSeq annotates it as U5 spliceosomal RNA. Lineage: Eukaryota; Metazoa; Arthropoda; Insecta; Diptera; Dolichopodidae. The record is from RefSeq and is a predicted model, not a curated record. The transcript has a single exon.
ACAUUCUGCAAUCCUAACAAAGCAUACGACCCUUUCGCCUUUUACUAAAGAGUCAUGUGUGGGGAUUGUCUAUGAUACAAUCAAUUUUUUUGGGGCGAUUCGUCGCCUA